Long non-coding RNA from Nymphaea colorata (pocket water lily), 1586 nucleotides. RefSeq lists it as uncharacterized. NCBI's taxonomy places the organism in Eukaryota, Viridiplantae, Streptophyta, Magnoliopsida, Nymphaeales, Nymphaeaceae. The transcript has 3 exons. The record is from RefSeq and is a predicted model, not a curated record.
GCUCUGCACUUGACUGGUGCGCGUUCUGUCUCUUCAUCCCCCUCUCCCUCCCUUUCUCUAUUGGCAUUGGCUUCCAAAGGGAUCGUCCUCGUGCAUGGGGCUUGGGCUUCCAGUCAUCCUUGCCUUAAUGCCAAUCGUAUAGAAGAGGCACAGUCAUGGGAGAAGAUGCAGGUUACCCCAGGCAGAGGCAGAGCCGGUGGAAUGCGAUGAGCUUUUCGGGCAUCGGCGACCCAUUUGCUGGGGGUUUGCGAAUCCGAGGAGCCUAAUGUCGGAUCUCUACCAUCAGACGAAGGCGUUUGAAGAUCGUCUGAUCGGCAGCUUUAAACGGUCUGUCGCAUCAUAUGAACCCCUUCGCAGCCUGCUCGCCUACCCGGCAAGCUAUCGGACGGUCUGAUUUUAGCGCCCCUUCAACUCUUCGCCGGAGCCAGCCGGAGUAGUCGUUAGAGGUAAACGCGGCGAGGAACCGAGUGGCCCAUUCCCUUGUUCGUCACAAAGAAUGCGAAGAGCACCAUGGCCAGGAGCAAUGCUAAGAGCACGAGCAUCCCUACAAGCGCUGUAAAAGAGGCCAUGGUCGAGUCACAGCGGCUUUGGCGUUAUGGUGGUUAAGGUGACAAAGUCGUGAUGUUGGUGGCAGCGUUGACAAAGUGGUGGUGGCGUGAUAUUCUCAAAGUCGGUAAAAAAUAAAUUACUUUUACUUAAAUUGUUUAAAGUUUAUGGAAGAAAUAAACAUAGAAAAUGCCUAAAACUACGGGAUAAAUAAAAACAAACCUAAGCUUUUUAUAUUGUUAGAAAACACACUUUAAUUUUGUGGUUAAUUGAAAAAAAAAACAUAAGUUUAUUUAUGUUAAAGUAAAUGUUAAGUCAGUUGUUACCUUUGAAAAGAGCUUGACAAAUGUAUCUGGCAUUGCAAGUGCACCUUAACUUUUCUCGUAUAACUUCUAGCAUUAAUGAGGAAAGACUCAUCUGGCUGUUUUUUUAUAUAGUUAAAAAGAUAAUUAAUCUGGAUAUAGUGAAACCUGACUUAACAAUAUUAUUUGAUUAGUUAAAAUUCCUAGCUCGAACUAACCAGCAUGAAAUUUGUUUAUAUUAUUGAUAUUUUUGUUUGUUUAACUCAUUAAUGUAACUUAAGUUAGUGAUCAGUUAGGUUUUAAGUAUUUUUGAAAAUGUACAAAGUGAAUCACGAAGUGAAUCGCCAAACCAUGGUCACGAAGUGAAAAUGAUGAGCUGCUGCGGGGAGAGGGGGGUCAAGAAGAAGUGGGGGUAAGGAAGUUCAGGCUUCAGAAGGGAGGUGUCCGACAGUCCGAGGAAUGGAUGAGUCGGAAAGGUGAUGUUGCAAUUCCGCAGCCAAUUGGCAAGGGGCGCACUUGUUUUCGAGGUGGAUCUCCAUGCAGUGGAAGUGGUCAAAGAAAGAUAUUGCUGUGGCUAGCAGGGGAGCUAGGCAAAAACAAUGGCCUUGGGAGAGAGAAAAAAAAAGAAAAAAGGUAAGGAAAAGAAAUAUUAUAAUGAUGAAUGAAAAGAAGAAUUUGGCAAACCUAUUUGGUGUUUUUGACUAAUUCCUAUGGUACUCACCUUGAUUUAUAUUUUUA